Macaca mulatta (Rhesus monkey) is the source of this 1657-nucleotide non-coding RNA. The record is from RefSeq and is a predicted model, not a curated record. Lineage: Eukaryota; Metazoa; Chordata; Mammalia; Primates; Cercopithecidae.
UGGGCUGGAAACGCAUCUGAGCCCAUGUUGACCUCUGGGCAACCCUUGGCCUGAGGGUCCUUCGCUGCCAGAAGGAAGUUGUGCCACCGCCACCCCCGUAGGGCUGUCCCCCUCACCGGGCCACCCAGCGGGGGCACCUCCCUGGCAGCAGCUCACACACCUCCUCUCAUACGUGCCAAUACUGCAGCCUCGCAUCUCAGAGGGGCCGAGCGCACACCACCACCUGCCCCGAUGCUGACCCGGAGGCCCCAGGAGUGGCCCAGGCAGAGAGGACUUGAACUGAGUCCCGUGCAGCCCCCUUGCCCCAGAGACCCUUCCUUCAGUGAUUCUUUUUUUUAGAUGGAGUCUUGCUGUUGUCACCCAGGCUGGAGUGCAAUGGCACGAUCUCGGCUCACUGCAACCUCCGCCUCCCGGGUUCAAGUGAUUCUCCUGCCUCAGCUUCCUGAGUAGCUGGGAUUACAGGUGCCCGCCGCCACGCCCAGCUAAUUUUUGUAUUUUUUCAGUAGAGAUGGGGUUUCGCCACGUUGGCCAGGCUGGUCUCGAACUCCUGACCUCGUGAUCCGCCCGCCUUGGCCUCCCAAAGUGCUGCGAUUACAGGCGUGAGCCACCGUGCCCAGCCCCUUCAGUGUUUCUUCUAUAGCCAAGCUGCUGGUGCCGGGGAAACCAAGGCGCCUGGAACCCUGAUUUCUGACGUGAGGGAUAGAACUCCUGAUGUCCUAGGAAGACACGGGCUCGAGGGAGCCGACAGCGCCUGGUUUACGAAGACACAGGCUCAUGAGUGCGGACACCGCCUGGUUUAUAGAGGAAUGUCAUGAGGAAUGUGCCUCGUCCUCCACCAUCCCGUCUCCAGGCUUCUGGAAUCAGCUGGCUGGGAUCGCUGCCUCGUGUUUUCAGGAGAAAAAGCAAACCUGACCAUUCACAGACAGGGCAAGUCAGCCUCGUCCGGCCCCGCGUCCCGGUCGGGGAAUUCCAGUCCACGCUGGCUCCACCCGGCCCAAUCUCUUAGGGCAGCACCCACAGGAUCACAGCUUCUCCGAGAGGCAAAGCUCAGCUUCAAGGGGGGAGCUCUGGAAGAACAGUUUCCUGGGUCCCAGGCCCUACCCCUUUUUCAAACACCGCUUUGCUCUCUGAUGCAGCUCCAGCCCCCGCCCCUGGCGACUCCCCCUGGCCUCCUGGUGCUUGCCCCAGGCCCUGGCCCGGGCUGAGCUCACAGGCUUCCCUGCCCCAUCUCAGGCGCCUCUCCCCAUCCUCUCCUCUACCCCGAAGCCGGGCCCGGCCCAGCGGCCCCGGGAGGGACUGCCGCGACACGUCUCACUGGUCGCUCGUGGAAGCAGGCUGGGUGAUUUUGCCGGCCGUCCCCGUGUGUUCAAGGGACUGUCAUGGACUCCACAGACAGUGGGAAAGCGCUCCCAGCAGCCACUGGGAACUUGGCCGCCUGCACCCCAUUGUCCACGUUCCGGCCCCACUUCCUUUGGUCGUGAACCAGCAGAAGUUGCUGAGGUCUGUUUCCCCCAUCAGGGUUCAAAUGACCUGGGUGAGUCAUAUUGCGGCCACUUCCUUUGGGAGACACUCACCAAAUAUCCACAAUUUUACUCCCGGCAGCCAAGAAAUUUCCAUCUGUUCAGAACAUACAAUUAAAAAUACAUCCAAAGUGAAA